RNAcentral lists this ribosomal RNA (395 nucleotides) under uncultured bacterium. Its description in RNAcentral is "partial 16S ribosomal RNA". It matches the Rfam family "Bacterial small subunit ribosomal RNA", at positions 338 to 730 of the family's 1533-position model. The record is from RNAcentral.
CCUACGGGCGGCAGCAGUGAGGAAUAUUGGUCAAUGGGCGCGAGCCUGAACCAGCCAAGUAGCGUGAAGGAAGACUGCCCUACGGGUUGUAAACUUCUUUUAUAGGGGAGUAAAGUGAGCCACACGUGGCGUUCCGAAUGUACCCUAAGAAUAAGGAUCGGCUAACUCCGUGCCAGCAGCCGCGGUAAUACGGAGGAUGCGAGCGUUAUCCGGAUUUAUUGGGUUUAAAGGGUGCGCAGGGGGGGUGUUAAGUCAGUUGUGAAAGUUUGGGGCUCAACCCUAAAAUUGCCAUUGAUACUGGCAGUCUUGAGUGCAGGUGAGGUAGGCGGAAUGCGUGGUGUAGCGGUGAAAUGCAUAGAUAUCACGAAGAACUCCGAUUGCGAAGGCAGCUUACU